UGCUUUUGAUUUUUCUUUUUCCUUUUUCGAAACUUUAAGUUUUUAGUCAAUAUUUUAUUUUAUGAUUGUUGUGUUGAACAUCACUGCUAAAGCACUUUUUUGCAACUACAUUGUUAGUGUCUUUACUCUGACUGCAUUUGUUAUUGCAGCAAAACGACGGUCCAUCUGGGGAAUAUGGUGGUUCCGAGGAGGGCUACGGUGGAUGGAAACAAUCGUCUUACGCAGAGGAGUAGGGCUAGUUUGGAUUGGAAGAACCAUCUUACCAGGAAUAACCUUGUGAUUUACAGUGUAAUGUAUGAUGUUCAUUUAGCUGCCUGGUGUUGGCUUGAGAAAAGAGAAGGAGCUUCAGUCAUGUGGGAAGUUUCCUUUUGGUGUGCUUUUGUGCCUCAACUUGUUUUUUAUAUUAAUUAGACUGAAAUAACCUGUCAGUUUUAGUAAUGGUGAUUGCUUUCAUCUCUGCUUUUACCCUCUCUCCUCAUUACACUUAAUCUCCAUGAUUAGGAGCAUAAUCACACUAAUGUCGGUUUGUUCCUACCCAAAUUCAAUCCAAUGUAAACACCUGGCGUGUGCUUUUGAGUGUUUUUGGUUUACUCAACACAAUUCUUAACAAACAAGUUUUUAAUUAGCAUACACCAAAUCAUCCAUUAUAUAAUAAUUUGUUAUGCAUGUUACCACUGGGUCAAAAUGGCCAGCCUAUUUCCUUCAAAUUCAGUUCAACAAUCAAAGCCAACAAUAAAAUUCAAUUGAAAAAAGUUUCCAUCAAACCCAGGGAAACCUCAUUACUCCAUAAAGCUCCUCAAGUUGUGGGAUCAAUCUUUUCAUUUUUUCAAGUAUUCAACGAUCACAUUUUUAUAUGUUUUUUUUGUUCAAAGAAGCGUGAAGACGGUACUUGAAUUCUUGUCAAUGGUGUAAUUAUAAAUACUCUUUACUGUAUGGCCCCGUUUAAAGAUUACAUCUUCUAAGUUCCAUAUAUUCAUCUUAGGCGCACGCAAUUAAACUCUUGUUCGUAUAAAUUUGAACUCAAAAUCUUUUCUAACAAAGUGGUGGCUACGUCUUGGUUGGCUAGGCUCAUAUAUGAUGUGAUCAGAAUGUUGUGACUAGGCUCAUAUAACAUGCCACAUUAUGGAAACCAACUGAACACGUCAAUCCCUGUUCAGCUUCAGACAUGCUUGGUAACUGGUAACCGGUAACUAGUAACCAGUAACCGCUAUGCUAAGAAAGCUAUUUAAAUAGUUGACAGGCAAAUGAUUUCUUCUUCAUAAGUCGUUUCAGCUCAGAAAACUGCAACUUGUUAACUGUUCUCUCUCUUUUCUGUGGAUUUCAAUUUUCAUCCGAUCCAAACAUGCCUCUGGGAACGCUUGAAGUUCUUCUUGUUGAUGCCAAAGGCCUCGACAACAAUGAUUUUCUCGGUAACUCUCUCUCUCUCUCUCCCUCUGUGCCUGUGUUAAGGAUCUUCGAUCUCCCAGCCGAUCAUUUACUGUAUGAUUUGUAGAAACAUUUAUACAAGAGAAAUAAUUUAUGGGUUGCUUCCUGCUUCACCCUUUUGUGGAUCUAAACUCCUUGCUAGCUUUGUCUUAUCUGAGUCAAUGCUUUUGCCUGAUUUUUCUAGGCUUGAUGACCCUGUUUUCUCAUGUGUCUAUAAAUAUGUAUGAUUAUGUGGGUCAAAAGUUGAAUCUUUGAUGCACUAACUAACCAAAAACAAAAGAAUCCAUGAAAGUUCUGAGUCACUUUUGCAUAGAUCCAUAGUAAGUUUAAGUUAAGGACAAAGGAUCUAUCUACUUCUGACAAUGGGGGUGCUUGGAUUUACUUAUGACUAUGCUAAGUUGAAUCAGGAAAUUGUUUUUUGGGGCAACAGAAUUGAUAUUUGGAUCCACAAAGAAUUUGAUAUAAAUCUGUUCUACUUUUUAAUCUUUCUGCUUUAAGUUUCUGAAUUUGCUAAUUAUGUAUGUGUGACAUGGGUUGAAUGCUUUAUGAGCAGCUGACAUGGAUCCCUAUGUCCUUUUGACUCUAAGGACCCAAGAGAAGAAAAGCAAUGUGGUCUCAGGUACAUUUCUACUUCUAGCCAUCUUCAUCUUUUGUGCACAUCUCCCCUGCAAUAAAAUUGUGUAACUUUUGGAAGGACAAUGGCUUAAAUUGGUGCCUGCAGUUUUCAAUGAAUUGUGUUAAAAAAAUUGUACAUGCAGGGCAAGGAUCUGCACCAGAAUGGAAUGAAACCUUUGUAUUUACAGUCUCUGAUGAUGUCUCCGAACUUCAUUUGAAAAUAAUGGAAAAGGAUAAUUUCAGCGCAGACGAUUUUGUUGGAGAAGCAACGUGAGUAUUUUUCUUUUUUCGGAUCCUUUAAUUUGUAUAUGGUUACUCACUCGAAAGUAAUUUGCAGCCCUCAGAAACUAGGUUUUGAGUUCUAACAGUUCAACCAGUGAUAUAUUCUCUGGUGAAAAGAGUGUAAUUUAUACUUUCAUGCCUAACUUAUCCAUGGCUGUUUGCAGCAUUUCAUUAGAGCCCAUUUUCACUGAAGGUAGCAUUCCACCAACUGCAUAUAAUGUUGUAAAUCAGGACAAAGAAUACCGUGGAGAGAUUAAAGUUGGACUCAGAUUCACUCCUGAGCCUGAGGUGCUCUCAAUUUUUUUUUUCCUCUUUUGGAACUUUAAAUUUGUAGUCAAUGUUCUAGUUUAUGAUUGUUGUGUUCUAUUUUAUGUUCUAUUUGCUACAUUGUUAGUGUCUUUACUCUGACUGCAUUCGUUGUUGCAGCAAAACGAGGGUGCAUCUGGGGAAUAUGGAAGAAACGACGGUCCAUCUGGGGGAUAUGGAAGAAACGACGGUCCAUCUGGGGAAUAUGGUGGUUCCGAGGAGGGCUAUGGUGGAUGGAAACAAUCAUCUUACGCUGAGGAGUAGGCUAAUUUGGAUCGGAAGAAUAAUCUUACCCGGAAUGACCUUGUGAUUUACAGUGUAAUGUAUGAUGUUCAUUUAGCUGCCUGGUGUUGGCUUGAGAAAAGAGGAGCUUCAGUCAUGUCAGAGGUUUCUUUUUGGUGUGCUUUUGUGUGCCUCAACUUGUUUGAUUGCUUGAAAUAAUCAGUCAAGUUUACUGUUUCUGAUUGCUUUGUAUUUGCUUUACCUCAUAAUUAUCCCCAAUCUAUAAAGUAGGGUAAUGAAUCAUCUGGUUCAAUCUAAUCUAAAAAUAAAACCAUGUUGGUUUGCUUUACCUCUUGAUUUUAUUGUUUGCUAUCCAGUAUUGAUACUCAACCUAGAAUUUUAAUAAAUAAGUUUUAUUCUACAUAUUAUCAUUGGAUCAGUUCAGUUCAAUGUUGAAGAACCUAAACUGUACUACUCAAUUGAAUUGCUGUGACACAUUUAAAAUCUAAUCCAAACACUUGGAUUGGAUUGGAUUGAAAAAAUGACCUCUCUUUUGGUUUCAAUGAAAAAAAACAAAAGAGUUAAAAUAAUCAAACCAAACAAAAAAAAAAUACUCGGGAAUUAACAAAACUGGAAAAUGCAUUAAGAAACCAGCAAAUAGCAUUACAGUGCCAAAGGAGUCUUCCAAAAAAAAAAAAAAAAAUUACGGUGCUAAAAGAGUUAUACCAAAAAGUUAAAACCCAUGAAAAAUGAACAAUAGAGUUUUGAAUCAGAAAGAGAAACAGUUAUUCAUUGAAGGCUUCUUGCCUAAUCGGGUCUUCCAAUGCUUCAUGGAGGCGAGCUUCGAUGUUCGUGCCCGUAUCAGUGCUCUCUACUGGGUCAGUGCUUCCCUCCAAGCUACUGCUAUCCUCACCUGGACGAGACGAUGCAAUUGAUAAAACACAAGUAAGAACCAACACAAUCACUACCAAGGGAACCAACGGUUCAACAACAAUGCAUUUUAACUGAAAGAGUUUUGUUUCUUCUGCAGCAAUCAAAGGGCACCAUUAUAAUGCUAGUUAUAUAAAAGUGAAAACCAACAUAGUUUUUUUCUUAAUGUAUCACGUGAUAUUUAACUCAGGUAUCUUCAAGUUUGAUUGCAAGUCAAUUUUUACGAUAUAUGCAAAACCUUCAGAACAAAUUAAAGGGUCCUUGCCCAACUAUAAACAGCAGUGUAUGAUUAAUAUGCUAUUCAAAAUAAACUAUUUCUUAAAAACUUACUAAAGUGAGAGACAAAGGUUUCAAACAUUUUCCAGUUCAGAUAUUUACCCUGAUCCAAAGGCAGUGGCCUAGAGCUCUGACCCAAAAGCUUUCUUCUAGCUCCAGAGCUAGGUCGGGUCCUCCUUGGUAUGAAGCCAGCUUUCUUCCGAGUCUUAUUGCUAUUAAAAUCCUACAAGAGGAUGUAUGAGUAAAUCAAUGUCUGAUAGUAUAGCAGGGCCUUCUACAUAUAAAAGGGAUUAUGUAAUUCAAUUGGAGAAAGGUAUCCAUAAAUAACAAAAGAAGAGAAAGCCAGCAAGUCUCUUUUCCAGAUGUAUUAUGAGUGGUAAUAUGAAGGAGGUUCCCUUUCCAAAUAUAUUUUAACAGUAAAUGGAACUUUUCAAGGUAGCAAUGUAUAUGUAAAAUAUAUGAGAGACAUGAAAAAUUGCAGAAGACAACGAAUCUAAAUAAAUUAGAGAAGGAAAGCAAGAAAGAUCAAACUCACUGGGGCAUAUAUUGAAAGCUUGGCCUCCUUGGCAUAGUUCACAUAUCGCAUAAGAUCUUCGUAAGUGAAAAAGUGCUGUCCAGUUGCUGGACACCAGUAGCACUGUAACAGCCAAACAUUAAAUCAAGAAAUCACUCAGUUCCCAAACCAGUUGAAACAUCAGGAUGAAUACAAACAUUUAAGACUCAUCAUUUUAGUUUUCACAAAAAUAGUAUUUCUUUCCAAAUAGAAUUAGUUUUCAUCUUUUAAGCCAAGUAAUGGGCAAACUGUAUACUGCUGUUUGAUCUCAGGUAAACAUGCCAUAGUCAAAAGUACUGAUUAGGCUAAACAUGCCAUAUCAAAUAUUCAAUCCAUAAACUGGUAAGGAAAACCCAAAUAACUUGACAAACAAUAUUUAAUCUUUUACCAUCAAAAGGUAUAAAGCGCUCACGCAUUAGCAAGCACAUGAGCAGAAGAUGACAUACAUUUAUGCAUACUUAUGGAAAAUGCCGGACUAAAGAUUCCUUUAACAUGGAUAAAAAGAUCUUCCUAUAUUUGUUAUAAAACAAUAAGGAAAAGCUUCUGUUCAUUAACUGUCAACAAUUGGUGACUUGGAAGCCUAGCCUCCUGUGACUACACUACAGGAUACAUUACUUAAAACUCCACUUACGGCUACCUUGAAGAGUGAUUAAUAAAAAAAAAAACAGAAAAUAUAAGGCUAAAGCUGCACUAUUACAUUCCUUUUCAAUCCAGAAAGGCAAGUUUACAUUCAAUAAGAAUACAAUCAAACACAGUGCCACCGAACAUUCAAGAAGCAAUCCAACAUGGAUGUUUCAAUUAGAAGGAUAAAUUAUUGCACAAUAGAUUUAAAACCAAAUCAACUAAGUCAAUCUAACACCAAAGAUAAUAUCCACUUCCCAAUUGAUUAAGCUUAUGCAGGUGAAAACUUUGAUUCUAAUACAUGAGAUUACAUCAAUUUUCCACUGAUAAAACACAAUAAGAUCAUUAUUAGAGAAAUUAAUGAGAUUUGUGUUAAGUAAUGAAAUAAAUGAGAUUUCGGUUAAAUAUAAAAUAAAUGAGAUUUCAACUACUCGGAGUUGAUAUGAAUAAUGUGCAAAAUGAGAAUUACAUCAGCUAAGGCAAUCUACCAUCAAAACUGAAACCCAUUACAGCAGUAAUGCAAAUCAUGCAUGUGUAGAGAAUAUUGAUUAAAACACUUCAGAACUAGAACAGAACAAGAAAAUCAAUAGAUAAAGAACAGAGCCUGGGAAUCAUGUGUGUAUUUACCGAGGAUGUGGAUCCGUCCUUUCGGACCUCACUCUUGAACUUCCACCCAUCAGGAAUUGGAGUGUCGGAAGGCUUAUCUCCCAUGGUUGAGAAUGAUUAUCUCCUUCAACAAUGGUCUAAAAAAUCUCUCCCUUCUACCUCCACCCUGCUUGAGGGUCCUUUUAACCCUAAAACUUCGAUGCAAACGAGGCAUUAAAGGGAUAAUUCUAGAAAAGGAAAAGAUGCCUCCAAGUCCACGUGUUUCCAUCCACCAGUGUGUUCUGUCAAGGAGCCAAAACGUAACUGCAAAUAAAGAGAAUUAAUUCUUCCCUACGAAUAUAAAAGAACAACUGGAAAUGACAAACCGGACAGCGCACAUUCAUGUAUCAAGAAAACAAGAAAACAGCGCACCAUUAACAAGACAAUAGAAACGCUCAAAGGCAGGAUGAAUGCCAGAUAAAAGCAAAGUAUUAACAAAAACAAAUCGCCUUAGCAUUUCAGAGCUAAUCUUCAAUUUUAAUUUUUAAUUUUUAACUUUUGGGAUAAGAUCAGAGAUCAAGAUCAUCUUGAUUAGAUCCUCAAUGUUCCCCUUUAUAAUCAAGAACAAGGAAAUUAGUUCCAGGGAAUCUAAAGUUCUUAAUCUCUAUUUUCCUAUUCUCCCUCAAGGUAAACCAAUAAUUAUAACUUUGAAACUGUCACGUGUUUUGCCUUUUUGACAUUUGAUUUUAAAAUUUCAAGAACUAUGUGCUGCAACACCAAACAAGCAUAUAAUGAAAACAAUAGGGAUAACAUAUGAGUAGCUUAAUGAUACACAACAACAAUAGAAUCCAUCAAUGUCAGAACACAUUUGAGUUCUUACACACACUUGUUUAAUAGCAUUCCUUACACACACUUGAAUUCAGACCUUCCCAUCUCUUUGCUUUCAAGCUAGCUAGUAACCUAUUGAAUGAGAUACAAAAUCCUUUAACAUUUAUGAAGUUCUGAAUAGUAAUUACUGUCACUCUUAACAGCCCAAUAUUAUAUAAAACCAAUCCAAAAUAUACAAUCACUUUCAUAAUUGCUGUAUUGAUUUGAAUUUCCACAACAUACACACACAAAAUAAAAUUCCUUGUCCCAAGAAAUAAAAAUGAGUUGAACAUGGCAUCAUAAAGAAGAUAAGAAUUAAGAACUAAAUACUGGAUGUUAAAAAGCCUAAGAUCAAUACCAUUUUCCCCCAAUUGGAUUAAUAUAACUCUACCAUAAGUGGCAACAAAUAGACCCAACUUGACAAAAAAUAUACAAUCAUACAAUCUAACAGAAUGAAAACAAUGCAAUAUCUUACAAUAAACACCAAAUUAGAAAAUAAUAUUCUUCCCAAAAAAUUUACAUUUUGGAGCCACAAGCGGAGAAUGUUUAAAAAUUUAAACUAUUUCCUUUAUUGAACUAAAAACUCUAUUUUUUUUCCUUUCUCAAACAAUUAGGAACCGUCGCUCACCAUUUCUCAGCAACCAAACAGAAACAAGCAACAACAACAAAGGUAAAUAACUUCAUAUUCUGACUCUGCCUGAUUUUAAAGCAAAGCGUUCAGUUCUACCUUCGAAUUUCUUCUCCUGCUUCUUCAUCAUCAUCAUGUACUGCGAGCUCAGAGAGAUUGCUCCGUAGCUUUGCUGUGAUGCCAGUCCCGCGGCGUCGUUUUACGAAACCGAGUAAAAGACUUUCCGGCCGAAGACGAUUUUCCCGGAAAAUAAAGUAAAGGGCUAUUUCCUGUUUGGCUCGGUGGAAAAUUAAAGCCAGGAAACGAUGGUGUCUGUUGCAUUGGCAUUUUAAUAGAACGAUCGUCGUAGAAAGAAAAGUGUCGUAUACGCUCGUAUUUGGGACUCAACUCCCACACCAGUGGCAAAUUUCCUGUUUAUUUAAUAAUAUGCAAAUUUAACGGUUCACUCACUCUUGCACUUCUUUUAAUAAAUUUUUUUGAAUUAUUGGAUUAAUAUUCAAUGGUGGGUGACCACAAUUUCUUGGACUCCUGUGGUCCAAAAGAUCGAGACUGUAUACAUACAACACAUAUAUAAUACAAGUAUUAAAUGUGAAAGUAUUCAAUUCUUUACACGAAUAAUAACUAGACUAAUAACUAGUUAGUGUGUAUGAUUGUAACCUUUACCUUGUCAAUUUGAGUUUGGAUUAUGUUCUAACCAUCGUUGAUUAGUAAUUCUGAUAUAAAGGGUUAAGAAAAUAUUGCAAUAUACACACUAAUAUUUUGAAAAUUUUGUGCUUACGUAAUAGUAUAGACAGGUGGCUAUACUUGGUUUUUUUAAAUUUUUUUUAAAAAAUAGUAUAGCCAUGCGGCUAGAUUUAUUUUGACACGCUAGCGCCUAACCCUGUUUCCUCCCAUAUAUCUUUUGACAUGUGUCAUAUGACAAACAUAAAUUUAAAACUGUUAACAAUAUUUCAACACUCGAGUGAUGUUUCCUUGAGCCAUAUGAAAUUUCCAAGCUUUACCUUGUGGGUUUUUCUGAUUGAUCAAUUCUUGGUCUUUGCAGUGCUCGAGUGAUGUUUCCUUGAGCCAAAUCUUUAAUAUGGAAGCACUUUCUCUAUGUGUGUUUGAGGGUGUCUUGAAGCAAAUGCACCCGGUGAGGUGGCGAGUCUGAUGAAUGGGCGUGGUGGUGGAGAUUAGAUAUAAAUUGGGUGUCCCAUCAUCCUAUGGAGGCAUAAACAAACCCAUGGCGGAUCUGAUGAACUUGGGGUUUGGAGGAGAAAGAACAAAGACAAUGCUCCCUUUUUGCUGAAUGAAAUAGAUGAGGCGAGGAAAUGGGGUUUCUUUUUUUAAAUAAAUUUUAUUAUAUUGAAAUAAACAGUGUUAAAUUUCUGUUAAGUCAUGGAACACAUGUCAAAAAUAUAAGAAGGAAAUAGGGAGGCACAUGGGAUUGGGUAACAGAAAAAUUGGACUCAUUUUUUAUAUAUAUAAAUCGUAUAGCCGAUCGGUUAUAACCCUUAUUCUGAUUUGUUUUGUGAAAAUAGUAUAGCCGUACGGCUAUACCGUUUUUACACGCGGGCACCUAAUCGCACUGGGCUCCUCCAUUUUUACAUGUAUAAAUAGUAUAGCCGCCUUCGGUUUUUCUUAUUUUUCCUUUUAAAAAUAGUAUACCCGAUUUUUUCCUAAUUUUUUGGUAAAAAUAGUAUAGCCGCACGGCUAUAUCUCAAGAGUUUUUGUUUAUGUAUCAAUAGUAUAGCCGCUCAGCUAUACGCCCUUUUUUAUUUGUUUUAAAAAUAGUAUAUCCGUGCGGCUAUACGCCAUUUUUUAAAAUUUUGUUUACAUUUUUUUUUUUUUACAUGUGCGCACCUAAUCGCAUAGGGGUUUUUUUUUACAACCCUGUUUUUCUUUAUUUUUAAAAAAUAGUAUAGCCGCUCGGCUAUACUGUUUUUGACACGUGGCACCUAAUGGAAAGGGGGGUCCUCUAAUUUUAUUGUAUAAAUAGUAUACACGGUCAGCUAUACCCGAUUUUUUAUUUAUUGUUUUUUAUAAAUAGUAAUGCAAUCUAUAAGACUGUUGCCAUGUUUCAUUACAGGGAAGUUAAAUACCACUGAAAGUAGCAAUAUGACAUCAGAUAAAUUUAAAGAAUAUAGGAAAGAGGAUAUCAACUAAUAAUCAAAAGUUUGGUGUGACCGCAGAAAGGUGUCCAUUCCAAAAUAUCUGAUAGAUACGCUUAGGCGACAAGAAAUUUUCUGAACAAAAUCAUAAUCAGACUAUUAGUAGUCCAUCCAUAUGCACUUUUAGAAGAUCCACUGGCUUUUUGUGGUAUAGUUGAUUAGAGAUGCUUAUUGUUGUCAAACAAUGGAGACUUUUUUGCUCAUCUCUUAAAUCAAUUGUUCUUUCAUAUUUUUAUGAAAAAUUUGAAUGGCAGUACUCAACAACUAAACAUCUUUAUCAAAUGAUUUGGCAGGUUGAAAAUCAAGAACCCACUCUGGAAUUCUGGAAGAGAUCGCUAAACCCUUUAACAUGGACAGAAAUACUGUGUCAAGUACUGGUUGCCGCUGGUUUUGGUUCAAAGCAAGGUGCAAGGCGAAGGGAUGCCCUUAGCAAGGUCUUCUAAUUCAACUCCCAUGGUUGCAAUUGAUUUUUCUAAGCUCCAUUUCCUUUCUAGUAAAUGUAUUUAAUUAUCAACACAUCUGUAUUCUGCAAGUUAAGUGCUAUAGAUGCCCAAUAAUAUGUGUUCAUCACCCAAAACCUUGAGCAUUCAAAGCCUUAUUGGCAAUAGUCAUUUAAGAUCUGUCAUUACCCCGAAUAAUCUGUUUCUACCUUAAGGCAAAGCCCCAGUUGGAUAGGUUCAUUUUCCAUACUUAAGGACCAAAUCAGAAAUUUUAGGUUUUACAUAUAACAUGUAGUGAUUGAAUGUUAAAGGAAAUAGUUUCUUCAGUUUUGUUUGUUGGCAUUAUCGUGCAUUCCUAAAUAACAUCUGUUGAGCAUAUGUUUAUUUGCUUUAAUGACUAGACAUGCGCAAGAGCCUUUAUUGUGGUUUUAUUUACGUUCUACAAUUAAUAAGCUUUAUCUAUUGUUGCAUAAACCUAUCUAUAAAUGUGAAAUUUGGUUUUUCCAAUUGAAUCUUCUGUUAUCUAGGAAAUGAGCCUUAUGGUGAAGUAUGGUUUACGUCCUGGUACUUUAAAGGUUGAAUUGUUUGGAGUUCUGCUAGAGCAAGGAAUUCAUAUGGGUUGAAAGUUUCUGAGUUGGCGAAGUCAUUGCAGAUAAUUUUCUUGAAAAUAUUGUUAUCAUAAUCUCUCAUGUGAUAUUACACUUGAAUUAGUGCUGGACUUUGUUUUUGUUUUGCAGGUUUCUGAAUUGAACCUCCAUUGGAAUAAAGUAACUAGAGUCUUUAAUUGGUUCUCUUUCAAGUGAUAUUACAUUAUUUGAAAAGAUUUCAUCAUCCACAUAUCGUGUGCGUAUUAAUUCUUCUGAAAAGAAAGUGGAGGAAUCCCAAUCAGAUACCGAAGACUCUGGAGCAGUUGAUGAUGACCUCGGUGACAGUGGUACAUGUAGCAGUGAUGAUGAUUAUGGGUGCAAUUCAGGAAAUUCCAAAAUUAAAAAGCUGACUUAUAUGUACCAUGGCAAACUUAAAGAUAACAUGGUGAUAGUAUAACACCGAAAUUGAUGAGAGCCAUCCAGGAGAAGUAUAGUUGUUAGCACUGAUGGAAGGCGAAGAAUAUUUAAAUUUAAGCAUUGAAGAAAAGUUGAGCGCAAUAGUGGCACCCAUUGAUCUUCUUCAUGCAGGUUCUAGUUUCAGAAUGGAGGUAACAUAUAGAAUCUUUGCAUGGACAUUAAAACCUUUUCUUUGUUUUUAUUUUUCCCACUACUAUGAGGUUGCCCUAUUAAAUGGAACAUAUUCAGUCCUUUGUAAGAUAAUAUCAUCUGAAUUGUGUAAACUACAUUAUAUAUAAAAAUACUUUGACAGUAAAUAUUAUUUGAAUAUUCAAUGAGAUUCAAGUAGCCGUAAUUAUUACGGUGGUUUAUAAGUUUAACAUUUUCGAACCUUGAUAUUAUACGACUUUUACUUUUGUAUUUUCUGCAUCCUUGAUUUUUUUUUUUUUUUUAAUAAAAAAACUGCUAAAAAAAGUUACUUUUUUUUUAGUAUAGGGCCAUUUUAAUACAAUGUUUAAGCCCAUUUUACAAAACCCAACCCGUUAGUAAUAUUAAAAAUUAGGUUAGAUGUCUUCUUCUUCCCAGCGUAGCCUACACCCUCUCGCUGUUUCAACUUCAUCUCUCUCUCUCUCUCUCGGUCUUUCUUCAUGCAGCGCCUCAGUGCCACCUUAAGCGUCGACGCCUCAACGGCAAAACGCCAGCCCAGACCAGCCCAGGCGGCCUAGGCGGGUGCUAGGCGGGCGCUAGGCGGCCUAGGCGGGCGCUAGGCGGCCUAGGCGGGGCUAGGCGGCCUAGGCGGCCUAGGGGGCGCCCUACUCCCUGGCGGCUACUCCUUACGAUUAGGAUGAAAUUGCGGCGGUGUCGUCCCGCCUAGCACCUUGAAUGUAUCGGUGUGAAAGGCUGAUCAAAGCUAUGCACCUUGCAUAGGAAAUUGACUUCCGAAAGAUUCUCUCCGGUGACACGUAAACACGUGUUAUGCUAUCACUUCCAUAGUAAAUAUAAAUUUAACCUGUCGUUUAAUGAAGUUGAAUUACAAUAUGAGAGAGAAGAAAAAACAAGUUGAAUUCCAAUAGCUGUUAAUUGAAGAAGUUUCCCAAAUAAUUGAUGGCCUCAUUCUCAUUUCAUUCAUCUCUCUGCAUAAUUUCAUGUUGAUGCUUCUAAAACAAAUUAAAGCAUGGAGUGGAGUUUCUCACAUGGCUCCUGGUAACAUCCAUAACACCAGGGAAGCCACAGAGGGCCAUAGUGAGCUCAAACUCAUCUUUCAGCAUUUCGAUAACCCGUCUCACGCCGCGUUCUCCGUUUGCUGCAAGGCCAUAGAUUACAGGCCUUCCAACCUGCAGCAACGUUAGCCUGUAUUUCAAUAAGAAAAUCCAAAACAAUACAAGCAGUGUAAGGGUUCAUAUCAGAAGGGCAGCUUGUGUAGAUAUAGAUAUCUUACAAGGACAGCUUGUGCACCCAAGGCUAAUGCCUUGAACACAUCUGUUCCUCGCCUUACUCCUCCAUUAAGCAGAACAGGAACUUUUCCUCCAACAGCAUCAACUACCUGAGAACAUUAUAGAUAUAUAUGAUUGAACAUUCUUACAACUUUUCCAAUGGGAGAGUUUCUUUUAAAGACUCCUUUUUCCUCGAGAUCCUAUUUCGGUUUUAUCCAUGCUUAGCCAUGCGUAAGUUAGGCCAUGUUUGUGCUUACAGUACAGGUUACACCAGAAAACAAUGAAUUAGAAAUAGAAUUCUACCUCUUCCAGGACAGAAAUGGUGGUGGGAGUAUAAUCUAGUUGGCGGCCUCCAUGGUUGGAGACAACAAUCCCAGCAACACCUACUUCCACAGCCUUUCUUGCUGAAAUGGUAGAAAGAACACCUAUUCAGAAGGGCUAAUGCCAAAUUUGACUUCAAGUGUCAAUAAAAUGUAUUUCACCGAGUCGAUUAUUUUGACUGAUCAUCAUGCCUUGAAUACCGGGAGAAGUUAACAUUUACGAGACCUUUUUCCUUUUUACACAAAUUGAUCUUUCCCUUUAUGAGUUAAUACUUACAAGACGUAAAGAUAAAGAUACGAUUAUUUGGAGCCUUGAUCAGUUCAUCUUACCAUAACUUCAUGAGUGAGUACUCCCUUGAUCAGAAUUGGCAAGUUUGUAAUAGAUUUCAACCACUCUAUGUCCAUACGCGAUGCAAUAACUAAAAAUUUAAGAAGAAAAGAAUGUUAGUGUUUUGAGUUUGUGAAUGGAGAGUGACGAAGGAGAGAAGGAACGAGAAGAGAAAGAUUGGCAAAAACUGCUCUGCUAUACGUGUAGCAGAGGAAUUUUCAUUUCUAUUCAGUCUCUCAGCCUCACACACUUGGAGUGAGGGAAUAUAACCAUUAGGCACAGAAGCUGGAUCCCUUACAUCACAAGGUGAUCUCAGCUAUUCAUUUAGACAUUCAAUAGGAUCUUUACACUUGGCUUGUAAAAUUAAAGGAAACGAAAAACUGUUUUAACUAACUAAUAAGUCAGCUUAAGAACUUAUAAUUCAACAAAGAAACCAGGUAGCACACAGGCACAGAAAUGAGUAUAAAACUUCACUUUAAUGGAUGUCUUAUAGCCUCAAUCUCUGCAGAAAGUUACAAACUUACAACUGAGUAAAGUCUGUAUAAAUCAUGCAUCUUCAUAGUGUAAUCCCAAAAACAGAAAUAAUAAAAUAAAAUAAAAUAAAAUAGCCUUAGAGUAAAAAGAUCUGUAGCCAUGCGCAGGAGCCUUUAUUUACUUUCUUAUGGUGGUUUUAUUUAUGUUCUACAAUUAAUAAGCUUUAUCUGUUGUUGCAUAAACCUCUCUAUAAAUGGGAAAUUUGGUUUUUCAAAUUGAAUCUUCUGUUAUCUAGGAAAUGAGCCUUAUGGUGAAGUAUGGUUUACGUCCUGAUACAUUGAAGGGUGAAUUGUUUAGAGUUCUGCUAGAGCAAGGAAUUCAUGGGUUGAAAGUUUCUGAGUUGGCGAAGUCAUUGCAGGUAAUUUUCUUGAAAAUAUUGUUAUCAUAAUCUCUCAUGUGAUAUUACACUUGAAUUACUGAUGGACCUUGUUUUUGUUUUACAGAUUUCUGAAUUGAACCUUUCCACUGGAAUAGAGGAACGAGAGUCUUUAAUUGGUUCAACUAUUUCAAGUGAUAUUACAUUAUUUAAAAAGAUUUCAUCAUCCACAUAUCGUGUGCAUUUAAUUCUUCUGAAAAGAAAGUUGAGGAAUCCCAAUCAGAUACCGAAGACUCUGGAGCAGUUGAUGAUGACCUUGGUGACAGUGGUACAUGUAGUAGUGAUCAAGGUCUAAAAUAUCGAUGAUAUCGGAAAUAUCGGUAGUCCAAAAAUAUGGAAAUUUCGAUGGAAAUAUCGGGAUAUUAUCGAUAUCGAUAAAAAUUGAAUAAAAACCACGGAAAUUGUGAGAAAAACUUGGAAAUUUUUAUUGAAACUUUGGAGAAUGUUUAUUUAGUCAAUUUUCUAUGAGUUUAUCACAAAAAAUUAGAAGGAAAUGCAUUGUAUGAUGAAUUUAACUAAUUUAAGUUGAUUACACAGCAAGCGGGCAAACACUAUGAGUGUAAAAAAUAUGUAAUAAUUAAUGAAAAAAGAUUAAAUACACCGUAAUCAUUUAUAUAUAAUGAUUUACUAUAAUAUUUUACACUUUAUACAUUGCAUGGUAAGAUACAUGAAUGACUUAGUACCAUAUAGAGUUCCUACGCGGUUUAAAUUUUUCACUAUCUUCAUCAUUUCUAUGUGUAGAGUAAGUGUAUUGUGAAGAGUAGUCAUCAAAUGAUAAAUCCCCAAAAUAGUUUUGCAUGUAAUUGUUAACAUACCACCCAUAUAAAUAUAAAUAUUUUAGCAUAUUAUCACAAAAACAUAAGUGAUAUGGUGUUUAAGGUGUUGAAGGAGUAAAAUGGGAGGGGUUCAUAUCCCCUUUGUGCUUUUUUCUCCCCUUUUCCCUUUUUUUUUUUUAAAAAAAAAACUUUUUUUUUUCCUUUACAUCGAUAUUUUAGCGAUAUUACACCGAUAUUUUGACAAAAUAUUGCUGAAAUGUGAGCGAAAUUAUCGACAUCGAUAUUUUCAGAUAUUAUCGUCGAUAUUGUCAAUAUUUAUACGAUAUGUACAUGGAUAUGUUCCGAAAUAUCCGUGAUUCGAAAAAACUGAAAUAUCCUCGAUAUUUCAGACUAUGGUAGUGAUGAUGAUUCUGGGUGCAAUUCAGGAAAUUCCAAAAUUAAAAAGGUGGCUUAUAUGAACCAUGACAAAUGUAAAGAUAACAUGGUGAUAGUAUAACACCGAAAUUGAUGAGAGCCAUCCAGGAGAAGUAUAGUUGUUAGGACUGAUGGAUGGCGAAGAAUAUUCAGAUUUAAGCAUUGAAGAAAAGUUGAGCGCAAUAGUGGCACCCAUUGAUCUUCUUCAUGCAGGUUCUAGUUUCAGAAUGGAGGUAACAUAUAUAAUCUUUGCAUGGACAUUGAAACCUUUUCUUUGUUUUUAUUUUUCCCACUACUAUGAGGUUGCCCUAUUAAAUGGAACGUGUUCAGUCCUUUGUAAAAUAAUAUCAUCUGAAUGGUACAAACUGCAUUAUAUAUAUAAAUACUUUGACAGUAAAUAUUAUUUGAAUAUUCAAUAAGAUUCAAGUAGCCGUAAUUAUUACGGUGGUUUAUAAAUUUAACAUUUUCGAACCUUGAUAUUAUACGACUUUUACUUUUGUAUUUUCUGCAACCUUGAUUUUUUUUUUUUAAAAAAAAAACUGCUAAAAAAAGUUUACUUUUUUUAAUAUAGGGCCAUUUUAAUACAAUGUUAAGCCCAUUUUACAAAACCCAACCCGUUAGUAAUAUUAAAAAUUAGGUUAGAUGUCUUCUUCUUCCCAGCGUAGCCUACACCCUCUCGCUGUUUCAACUUCAUCUCUCUCUCUCUCGGUCUUUCUUCAUGCAGCGCCUCAGUGCCACCUUAAGCGUCGACUCCUCAACGGCAAAACGCCAGCCCAGACCAGCCCAGGCGGCCUAGGCGGGUGCUAGGCGGGCGCUAGGCGGCCUAGGCGGCGCCCUACUCCCUGGCGGCUACUCCUUACGAUUAGGAUGAAAUUGCGGCGGUGUCGUCCCGCCUAGCACCUUGAAUGUAUCGGUGUGAAAGGCUGAUCAAAGCUAUGCACCUUGCAUAGGAAAUUGACUUCCGAAAGAUGGUUCUCUCCGGUGACACGUAAACACAUGUUAUUCUAUCACUUCCAUAGUAAAUAUAAAUUUAACCUGUCGUUUAAUGAAGUUGAAUUACAAUAUGAGAGAGAAGAAAAAACAAGUUGAAUUCCAAUAGCUGUUAAUUGAAGCAGUUUCCCAAAUAAAUUGAUGGCCUCAUUCUCAUUUCAUCCAUCUCUCUGCAUAAUUUCAUUUUGAUGCUUCUAAAACAAAUUAAAGCAUGGAGUGGAGUUUAUCACAUUCUGUCCUCACAUGGCUCCUGGUAUUAUCCAUAACACCAGGGCAGCCACAGAGGGCCAUAGUGAGCUCAAACUCAUCUUUCAGCAUUUCGAUAACCCGUCUCAUGCCGCGUUCUCCGUUUGCUGCAAGGCCAUAGAUUACAGGCCUUCCAACCUGCAGCAACAUUAGCCUGUAUUUCAAUAAGAAAAUCCAAAACAAUACAAGCAGUUUAAGGGUUCAUAUCAGAAGGGCAGCUUGUAUAGAUAUAGAUAUCUUACAAGGAUUGAACACACCUGUUCCUCGCUUUACUCCUCCAUCAAGCAGAACAGGAACUUUUCCUCCAACAACAUCAACUACCUGAGAACAUUAUGUACGUGUGACAUAGGUUGAAUGCUUUAUGAGCAGCUGACAUGGAUCCCUAUGUCCUUUUGACUCUAAGGGGUCGUUUGGUACGGCGGACUGUCAUGGACUGGACUAAAUCCUGGGACUGUCUUGGAUUAGCUCGGAUUGGACUAAGCUGGAUUAAGUGCUGACCUACGUUUGGUGCUGCGUCGGACUAAGAAGCUGGAUUGUAAAAAUAGUGAAGACCUAUGUUUGGGACUGUGUCGGACUAAAAAUUCAUUAUUAUAAUAUUUAAAUUUAAUUAAGAAUUUUGACUUGAAAAAUAUUUAUAUUUAAUUAGAAAUAUUUAAUUGGGGCUGAUGUGUGAAAAAAAUAAUUUAGAAUUUAUAAAUUUAUUUUUUUAAAAAAUUAUAUUAUCUUCCUAUACCUUUGCCCUUUCCCAUCUUCAUACUGGAUGUCUGUCUUUCUUUCCAAAUUUUCAAAGGGAAAAACCUAAAAAAGAAGCCAAUUAGCCCCACACCAUAACUUUUCACAAACCAGACCACACCACAAAAUUAAUUUUUUUUAAUUUUUUUUAAAAGGCCCAAGUGUCCAGAACACAAUUGGGAUCUUAUCUCAUCCAUUUCUUCUUCUUUGGCCGUUCUAAUCCCUUUCUUCUUCUUUGGCCAUUACCAGAACGAUGGCUGCACGGCUCCAAUCAGCAGAAGCAGCUGAAAAACAUCUUCAUGCGAUUCGACAUGGACUCUGAUGGCAGCCUCACCCAGCUCGAGCUCGCUGACUUGCUCUGGUCUCUUGGCGUCAAGUCCACCAGCUACCAGCUCCAAGUCACCGCCAUGGAGGUCUUCCAGUCGCUCGAGAGGAAGAGAAUGAGAGUGAAGGCUGCGUUGGUUGGACUCGUGCGUUCAAAAUAGCACACUCUCUAUUUUGUGAACCGCAUUUCAUCCUCGCAAUAUUAAACGAGCGAGUCCGAUGUUUUUUUAACCAACGGACUAUACAAUCCCAUUUAUUUUAGUCCCUCUUUCACCAAACGCUGGUUUCAAAGUGUUAUUUAACACUGUCCUGGCUAGUCCAGCGUACCAAACAUACCCUAAGGACCCAAGAGAAGAAAAGCAAUGUGGUCUCAGGUACAUUUCUACUUCUAGCCAUCUUCAUCUUUUGUGCACAUCUCCCCUGCAAUAAAAUUGUGUAACUUUUGGAAGAACAAUGGCUUAAAUUGAUGCCUGCAGUUUUCAAUGAAUUGUGUUAAAGAAAUUGUACAUGCAGGACAAGGAUCUGCACCAGAAUGGAAUGAAACCUUUGUAUUUACAGUCUCUGAUGAUGUCUCCGAACUUCAUUUGAAAAUAAUGGAGAAGGAUAAUUUCAGCGCAGAUGAUUUUGUUGGAGAAGCAACGUGAGUAUUUUUCUUUUUUUGGGUCCUUUAAUUUGUAUACGGUCACUCGAAAGUACCUUGCAGCCCUCAGAAACUAGGUUUGGAGUUUUAACAGUUCAACCUGUGAUAUAUUCUCUGGUGAAAAGAGUGUAAUUUAUACUUGUAUGACUAACUUAUUCAUGUCUGCAUGCAGCAUUUCAUUAGAGCCCAUUUUCACUGAAGGUAGCAUUCCACCAACUGCAUAUAAUGUUGUCAAUCAGGACAAGGAAUACCGUGGAGAGAUUAAAGUUGGACUCAGAUUUACUCCUGAGCCUCAGGUGCUUUCAAUUUUUUUUUUCCUUUUUUGGAACUAAAUUUUUAGUCAAUGUUCUAUUUUAUGUUCUAUUUGCACCUACAUUGUUAGUGUCUUUACUCUGACUGCAUUUGUUGUUGCAGCAAAAUGAUGGUCCAUCUGGGGAAUAUGGAAGAAACGACAGUCCAUCUGGGGGAUAUGGAAGAAACGAUGGUCCAUCUGGGGAAUAUGGUGGUUCAGAGGAGGGCUAUGGUGGAUGGAAACAAUCAUCUUACGCGGAGGAGUAGGGCUAAUUUGGAUCGGAAGAAUGAUCUUAUCCGGAAUGACCUUGUGAUUUACAGUGUAACAUAUGAUGUUCAUUUAGCUGCCUGGUGUUGGCUUGAGAAAAGAGGAGGAGCUUCAGUCAUGUGGUAGGUUUCUUUUUGGUGUGCUUUUGUGUGCCUCAACUUGUUUGAUGGAUUGAAAUAAUCAGUCAAGUUUACUGUUUUUGAUUGCUUUGAAUUUGCUUUACCUCAUAAUUAUCCCCAAUCUAUUAAGUAGGAUAAUGCAUCAUCUGGUUC
This 18887-nucleotide long non-coding RNA is filed under the name Prunus persica (peach). RNAcentral describes it as "long non-coding RNA (PPER_LNC002723)". The record is from RNAcentral. Lineage: Eukaryota; Viridiplantae; Streptophyta; Magnoliopsida; Rosales; Rosaceae.